RNAcentral lists this ribosomal RNA (497 nucleotides) under uncultured bacterium. RNAcentral describes it as "partial 16S ribosomal RNA". It matches the Rfam family "Bacterial small subunit ribosomal RNA", at positions 28 to 507 of the family's 1533-position model. The record is from RNAcentral.
GAUGAACGCUGGCGGCGUGCCUAAUACAUGCAAGUCGAGCGAACAGACGAGGAGCUUGCUCCUCUGACGUUAGCGGCGGACGGGUGAGUAACACGUGGAUCCCCUCCCUAUAAGACUGGGAUAACUUCGGGAAACCGGAGCUAAUACCGGAUAAUAUAUUGAACCGCAUGGUUCAAUAGUGAAAGACGGUUUUGCUGUCACUUAUAGAUGGUUCCGCGCCGCAUUAGCUAGUUGGUAAGGUAACGGCUUACCAAGGCAACGAUGCGUAGCCGACCUGAGAGGGGGGUCGGCCACCCGGGAACUGAGACACGGUCCAGACGCCUACGGGAGGCAGCAGUAGGGAAUCGUCCGCAAUGGGCGAAAGCCUGACGGAACAACGCCGCGUGAGUGAUGAAGGUGUUCGGAUCGUAAAACUCUGUUAUUAGGGAAGAACAAAUGUGUAAGUAACUAUGCACGUCUUGACGGUACCUAAUCAGAAAGCCACGGCUAACUACGUG